UACGUAGGGUGCGAGCGUUGUCCGGAAUUAUUGGGCGUAAAGAGCUCGUAGGCGGCUUGUCACGUCGGGUGUGAAAGCCCGGGGCUUAACCCCGGGUCUGCAUUCGAUACGGGCUAGCUAGAGUGUGGUAGGGGAGAUCGGAAUUCCUGGUGUAGCGGUGAAAUGCGCAGAUAUCAGGAGGAACACCGGUGGCGAAGGCGGAUCUCUGGGCCAUUACUGACGCUGAGGAGCGAAAGCGUGGGGAGCAAACAGG
This 253-nucleotide ribosomal RNA is filed under the name uncultured bacterium. RNAcentral describes it as "partial 16S ribosomal RNA". It matches the Rfam family "Bacterial small subunit ribosomal RNA", at positions 524 to 776 of the family's 1533-position model. The record is from RNAcentral.